CCUACGGGAGGCAGCAGUGAGGAAUAUUGGUCAAUGGCCGGAAGGCUGAACCAGCCAUGCCGCGUGAAGGUCAGUGCCCUAUGGGCGUUAAACUUCUUUUGUGCGGGAGCAAUAAUGGUCACGUGUGGCCAGACGAGAGUACCGUACGAAUAAGCAUCGGCUAACUCCGUGCCAGCAGCCGCGGUAAUAAGGGGGAUGCAAGCGUUAUCCGGAUUUAUUGGGUUUAAAGGGAGCGUAGGCUGUGAGGUAAGUCAGCGGGGAAAUGCCCCCGCUCAACGGGGUGAAGUGCCAUUGAUACUGCCUUGCUGGAGUGCGGAUGCGGUGAGAGGAAUGUGUGGUGUAGCGGUGAAAUGCAUAGAUAUCACGCAGAACACCGAUUGCGAAGGCAUCUCACGGAUC
Molecule: ribosomal RNA, 399 nt
Filed under: uncultured bacterium
Lineage: Bacteria
Description: partial 16S ribosomal RNA
Rfam family: Bacterial small subunit ribosomal RNA
Source: RNAcentral